Acanthosepion pharaonis is the source of this 94-nucleotide non-coding RNA. The record is from the annotation of a GenBank genome assembly. Lineage: Eukaryota; Metazoa; Mollusca; Cephalopoda; Sepiida; Sepiidae.
UACUCCAAUUUUCAUACGAUCACUGACGUAAAGCAACGUCGAGCCUGAUCAGUACCUAGAUGGGUGACCGCUUGGGAAUACCAAGUGCUGUAAG